GAGGCUGCAGUGACCCACUGCACUCCAGUCUGGGUGACAGAACGAGACUCUGUCUCUAAAAAAUAAAUAAAUACUGAUAAACAAAACAUACCUCUAAUUAUACUCAGCUUUUUUGGUUGAGGAUAAACAGAUGCUUUAGAAUUUUAGCCUUCAGUAGUUUGUAAUCAUAUUAUCAUUGUGUAGUAAUUGUGAACAAAUUUCUGACUACUGAUAUUCUGCUUAAUUUCUGACUACUGAUAUUACUGCUUAAGUUAGGAUUUCUGACUGCUGAUAUUCCGCUGAAGUUAGGAUUUACUCUGUUAACUUCAUGCCAUUAUUUUAGCCCCUUUUUCUUCAUUUACUUUUGGCCUUAAGGCUGUAGAAACAAGUAGUAAUAAUUAGUCAGAUUAUGGAACUGAUGAGCUGUGGUUAUAGCCUCCAUCACCAGAAAGCCUUUCAUUAAUUUUUAACACAGUGCUAUUUACAUAGGAAAAGGUCUAUUUUAACAUAGUUGUAUUCCCUCGAAAGAAACUUUUUGCCCUAGGUAUCCAUAAAAGUGGCACAGUAGUUUUCUUUGUUUUACUUUGGAUGAAAAUGGAGAAAUAAAUGUGAAUCAAAAGUAAUCUGUGAGAAAAAUAGCAAUCUUUUUUGAAAAUGUGUUGAAACUCUGUGCCCCAAAAUGCUAGUGCCCACGUUGUUAAUUGUAUCAGUCCUCUUGGAUAUAGAUGUUUUCCUGGACACACCAGCUACACAAUAAGCCAGUAAAUGUAAGUUUGACCUGCUUGUUAUUAUUGGGAGCCCUAGGUAUGUCAAAGGCUUUUCACCAAGCCAGGGUUAUUAAUCAAAGCUGACUCCCUCGUAUUGAUCAGACCUCAAAUGGUUGGGUUCCAUGCCACCCUGUUUAUAUAUUGCUGUUUAAUUUGCAGCCACCCUGUGUGCACUCUAUCUAAGUGACAACGGUUUUGAAAUCCUGCCACCAGAUAUUGGGAAGCUCACAAAGUUGCAGAUAGUAAGUAAGUUAUCUAAAUUCUUAGAAAAUCAAUUCACUGCUGCAGCCUUGUAGGGGUAGAAUCAAGUAAAUCUGAGCAGAAGUAAGGUUUGUUUUGCAGGAAUAAACCACUACUUCUGAUAGUGUUUCUUGAUUAUCCGCCAGCACUUGUAAAUAAAUGGAAAGGACUGAGCUGUGGUAGAAGAGAGGACGUGGAGGAGGAUGAGAGUUUCUGUGGAGCACCUUUUAAUGUGAAAAUGUGUUGACAACUCCUUGUUUUCUUCUGUUUAGCUCAGCAAUAGGGAUAAAGACCUGAUCUCACUGCUUAAGGAAAUUGGGGAGCUUACCCAGCUUAAAGAGCUCCACAUUCAGAGGAACCGCCUCACUGUUCUACGCCCAGAACUAGGCAAUGAUGGGACCUCUUCUCCUGCAUUUGUUACCCAGAUAAUUUUGCCUUUGGAGAAGAGAAGAAAAUCACAUUGGUCUGCUCGGAAUGCAACAAAACAAAGUGUUAUUGACACCAAAACCUUAUUUGCACCAAUCCAAACAGCCUAUGGGACAUAUGUCUGCAAUGCUGCACACACCUGGGGCUAGCCAGCUUAGUGCCCUACGAUAUGUGCCAAUAAUCGAUAGCAUUUUUUACUACAGUAAUUAUGAGAAGCAUAGUAUUUUCUAGCAUGCUUGUGAAGAGUGGAAACAAAUAUUAAUCCCCUUCAGAGAGUAAAGGACAUUAUGAAUUG
This is a long non-coding RNA of Homo sapiens (human), 1707 nucleotides long. The record is from Ensembl. NCBI's taxonomy places the organism in Eukaryota, Metazoa, Chordata, Mammalia, Primates, Hominidae.